This 301-nucleotide ribosomal RNA is filed under the name uncultured bacterium. RNAcentral's name for it is "partial 16S ribosomal RNA". It matches the Rfam family "Bacterial small subunit ribosomal RNA", at positions 509 to 807 of the family's 1533-position model. The record is from RNAcentral.
CAGUAGCCGCGGGAAUACGUAGGUGGCAAGUGUUGUCCGGAAUUAUUGGGCGUAAAGGGCUCGCAGGCGGUUUCUUAAGUCUGAUGUGAAAGCCCCCGGCUCAACCGGGGAGGGUCAUUGGAAACUGGGAAACUUGAGUGCAGAGGAGGAGAGUGGAAUUCCACGUGUAGCGGUGAAACGCGUAGAGAUGUGGAGGAACACCAGUGGCGAAGGCGACUCUCUGGUCUGUAACUGACGCUGAGGAGCGAAAGCGUGGGGAGCGAACAGGAUUAGAUACCCCUGUAGUCCCUGUCUCUUAUAC